RNAcentral lists this ribosomal RNA (484 nucleotides) under uncultured bacterium. RNAcentral describes it as "bacterial SSU rRNA". It matches the Rfam family "Bacterial small subunit ribosomal RNA", at positions 32 to 524 of the family's 1533-position model. The record is from RNAcentral.
AAUCAACGCUGGCGGCGUGCCUCAGACAUGCAAGUCGAACGAUUAAAGCUCUCUUCGGAGAGUGUAUAGAGUGGCGCACGGGUGAGUAACACGUAAGUAAUCUACCCUCGAGUGGGGAAUAACGUCCGGAAACGGACGCUAAUACCGCAUAAUGCAGCGGCACCGCAAGGUGACAGUUGUUAAAGGAGAAAUUCGCUUGAGGAGGAGCUUGCGGCAGAUUAGCUUGUUGGUAAGGUAACGGCUUACCAAGGCUACGAUCUGUAACCGGUCUUAGAGGACGGUCGGUCACACUGACACUGAAUAACGGGUCAGACUCCUACGGGAGGCAGCAGUCGGGAAUUUUGGGCAAUGGGCGAAAGCCUGACCCAGCAACGCCGCGUGAAGGAUGAAGUAUUUCAGUAUGUAAACUUCGAAAGAAUAGGAAGAAUAAAUGACGGUACUAUUUAUAAGGUCCGGCUAACUACGUGCCAGCAGCCGCGGUAAU